UCCUUAGAUCUCAAAGCAGGUCAAGAAGCAGUGAUGCACUGGGGGCCCAGGGUGGAUCAUGUCAAAAGUCUGACUGGAGUCUCAGCCGGAAACUCUUGUCACCAUGGUGACAUCACUUGCUUCCUUUUCUGAGAUUUCAGUUCAUAUUGGAACAGCUUUUAAAGAUGGCUUCUGUUCAGUUUAGAUCAUCCUGGAAACUCCCGUCUUUCUCAAACUUAAAAUUUGGGAUGAACUUGUUCUUCAAUUGUGUUUAUUUAUACUAAAUCAGGGGACUUCAGACCACACAAGUGUUUCUUCACUUCUAAUGGCAUCCAGUAUUCAGACUGUGCUCUGGUUUAGUGUUGCUGAUUCAACUGCCCACAAAAUGUGUGAACUAUCCAAUGACUCUGUAUUCCCUGGGAAAUAAUAAUUGCCGCCAUCAUUCAUGAGGCAGAAGACUUUCAUGAUGUUAUGAAUGAGGUCCUGCAACAUAUUUGAAGAAAACUGUCUACCAAAAUGUUUUAGAGGCCAUGAAGAUGUUUGAGUCACUUCUUCAAAGGCAGCUGGGUUAAAAGAAAAGGCUUUUCUUGUUGCAGCAAGGAGAAAAAACACAGCAUGCAUAAAAACUUCAGAAGGUGUCUGUCUACUUCAUGUCAGCUUACAAAUAACAGAGGAAGUGAGUGCCGUACUGAAUCCAGAGUGAUGUAUUUUAUCACUUCGGACAACAGGGGGAGACGAAGCUAUCAGCAAAGGAUUUCUUCACAUUCUCUCCCCCAAAAGCAAAGAAGCAAGAAGAGAAUUAUUCCUUGUGAUUUGUGUAAUAAGUAAAUCUAUAAUUUCAUUU
Molecule: long non-coding RNA, 823 nt
Organism: Lontra canadensis (Northern American river otter)
Lineage: Eukaryota; Metazoa; Chordata; Mammalia; Carnivora; Mustelidae
Exons: 3
Source: RefSeq, a predicted model, not a curated record